RNAcentral lists this ribosomal RNA (797 nucleotides) under uncultured Glomeromycotina. Its description in RNAcentral is "SSU rRNA". It matches the Rfam family "Eukaryotic small subunit ribosomal RNA", at positions 314 to 1114 of the family's 1831-position model. Lineage: Eukaryota; Fungi; Glomeromycota. The record is from RNAcentral.
AUCAACUUUCGAUGGUAGGAUAGAGGCCUACCAUGGUGGUAACGGGUAACGGGGUGUUAGGGCACGACACCGGAGAGGGAGCCUGAGAAACGGCUACCACAUCCAAGGAUGGCAGCAGGCGCGCAAAUUACCCAAUCCCGACACGGGGAGGUAGUGACAAUAAAUAACAAUACGGGGUCCUUUAGGGUUUCGUAAUUGGAAUGAGUACAAUUUAAAUCUCUUAACGAGGAACAAUUGGAGGGCAAGUCUGGUGCCAGCAGCCGCGGUAAUUCCAGCUCCAAUAGCGUAUAUUAAAGUUGUUGCAGUUAAAAAGCUCGUAGUUGAAUUUCGGGAUCAGUAUGUUGGUCGUGCCUUGGUACGUACUGGUGUAACUGAUUCCUCCCUUCUGACGAACCGUCAUGCCAUUAAUUUGGUGUGGCGGGAAAUCAGGACUGUUACUUUGAAAAAAUUAGAGUGUUUAAAGCAGGCUCGCGCUUGAAUACAUUAGCAUGGAAUAAUGAAAUAGGACGUUGUUCUUAUUUUGUUGGUUUCUAGGAUCGACGUAAUGAUUAAUAGGGAUAGUUGGGGGCAUUAGUAUUCAAUUGUCAGAGGUGAAAUUCUUGGAUUUAUUGAAGACUAACUACUGCGAAAGCAUUUGCCAAGGAUGUUUUCAUUAAUCAAGAACGAAAGUUAGGGGAUCGAAGACGAUCAGAUACCGUCGUAGUCUUAACCAUAAACUAUGCCGACUAGGGAUCGGAUGAUGUUAAUUUUUUAAUGACUCAUUCGGCGCCUUACGGGAAACCAAAGUGUUUGGGUUC